This 253-nucleotide ribosomal RNA is filed under the name uncultured bacterium. RNAcentral's name for it is "partial 16S ribosomal RNA". It matches the Rfam family "Bacterial small subunit ribosomal RNA", at positions 524 to 776 of the family's 1533-position model. The record is from RNAcentral.
AACGUAGGGACCGAGCGUUAUCCGGAUUUACUGGGCGUAAAGCGCGUUCAGGCGGUUUGGCAAGUCGGGCAUGAAAUCUCUCGGCUCAACCGGGAGAGGUUGUCCGAUACUGCUGGACUUGAGGGCAGUAGAGGGUGGUGGAAUUCCGGGUGUAGUGGUGAAAUGCGUAGAUAUCCGGAGGAACACCAGUGGCGAAAGCGGCCACCUGGACUGCACCUGACGCUGACACGCGAAAGCUAGGGGAGCGAACGGG